UCUUGCGCAAUGGGCGAAAGCCUGACGCAGCGACGCCGCGUGGGGGAUGACGGCCUUCGGGUUGUAAACCUCUUUCAGCGGGGACGAAGUUGGACGUGUACCCGCAGAAGAAGCGCCGGCUAACUACGUGCCAGCAGCCGCGGUAAUACGUAGGGCGCGAGCGUUGUCCGGAAUUAUUGGGCGUAAAGAGCUCGUAGGCGGCUGGUCGCGUCUGCCGUGAAAGGCCUGGGCUUAACUCGGGUUUUGCGGUGGAUACGGGCCGGCUGGAGGCAGGCAGGGGAGAAUGGAAUUCCUGGUGUAGCGGUGAAAUGCGCAGAUAUCAGGAGGAACACCGGUGGCGAAGGCGGUUCUCUGGGCCUGUCCUGACGCUGAGGAGCGAAAGCGUGGGGAGCGAACAGG
RNAcentral lists this ribosomal RNA (399 nucleotides) under uncultured bacterium. RNAcentral describes it as "bacterial SSU rRNA". It matches the Rfam family "Bacterial small subunit ribosomal RNA", at positions 362 to 776 of the family's 1533-position model. The record is from RNAcentral.